ACCGUCUUCAUGAGAGCAGCUGUGUUCCUGGCCCUGCCUGGGAGCUCACGAUGGUCCUGCUUACAGGGCGAAUUUUGUGCUGAGGCGAUCUCGUGAACCCUUGUGGGACCUCAGACAAGUCCCUUCCAUCUCUGAACACCAGUGUCUCCGGAAGAGCGGUGGCCCAGACGCUGCAGCUUCGCCAGCAGCAUGGUGCGGGCCCAUGCGAAGGACCGUUCCUAACUGCAGGACGGAGGCUCUGUGGAUGCUGGACAGUCACAUAAUGACAUGGGGCUGACCACAAGAGCACCGGGAUAGUAAAUGUCACAGCAGAGACUCAGAAGCACACCGCAUUUGCCCGGUCAGAGGCUGUCUGCAAGUAAUACCACCAACACAACAGAAUGAUCAUUUGUUGAAGGUCUAUGUUAUUUCUAACCUCACAUUAACUUUGCAAGGUAGGUAUUGCUAAAUCCCGUGUUACACGUGGGGAAAUUGAAGAUUAGAGACGGUGACUAACUCCUGCGAGCUCACCUGCAAGCGAGGCUCACCAGGAUUGGAAAGCAGUCAGCCUGGCUUCAAGAGCCUGGGUGUUUCCUGUUCCAGUAGCCGGGCUGUGAGUGCAGCCUCCUGGGAA
This is a non-coding RNA of Leptonychotes weddellii (Weddell seal), 613 nucleotides long. The record is from RefSeq and is a predicted model, not a curated record. NCBI's taxonomy places the organism in Eukaryota, Metazoa, Chordata, Mammalia, Carnivora, Phocidae.